UCCACAGAGAGGACACCCCUCUACUACAGCCUUCAGGGAAACAGGGUCAAGAAGAAAACAGGCCUGAGCUCUUCCUCCAUUCUGUCUGUAUGAGAGUUUACAGAGGCUCCGGAAACCAAACUCGACUGAAAUGUAAACGUUGAAGUGCCUUUGAGCAAGACCACAAACCAUAACCAAGUCCAGAAUCAACACGCAGGACAGUGAACACAUGUUCCUGCUGGUAGGCUAUCUGCUUGUAGGGCUGGAACGUUCUUCAAUGUAUUAAUUAGGUGAUCUACAACAAAUUAAUCAACCAAUUUGGAUGCCGCAUCUCUGCCUUACCCAGUCCUCGAAGUGCUUGCUGCCGUUGUGCAGGAUGUCCUCGAACUGGAUGAUGCAGUUGGCCACGAAGUCGUCGUAGCCGAUGGGCGCGUCGUGGAAGACGGACAGCUC
Long non-coding RNA from Micropterus salmoides (largemouth bass), 432 nucleotides. RefSeq lists it as uncharacterized. Lineage: Eukaryota; Metazoa; Chordata; Actinopteri; Centrarchiformes; Centrarchidae. The transcript is spliced from 3 exons. The record is from RefSeq and is a predicted model, not a curated record.